This 217-nucleotide unclassified non-coding RNA is filed under the name uncultured Sebacinaceae. RNAcentral describes it as "sequence contains ITS2". Lineage: Eukaryota; Fungi; Basidiomycota; Agaricomycetes; Sebacinales; Sebacinaceae. The record is from RNAcentral.
UACUCUCACGCCCAAAGGUUUUCGAACCGGAGGGACUGUGGACUUGGACGCCUGCCGCUUUGUCGUGGCACGUCUCAAAUGCCUGAGUGUGACCGGCUUGCAAAAGUGUCAUCUGGUGUGAUAAGCAUCUUCACUGGAGCAUUGGGACCCUCUCAGAGGAACCCGCACUGAGCUCGCCCACGGUCGGCUUCGAACCGUCCUCUGGACAAUCUUGACA